This 639-nucleotide ribosomal RNA is filed under the name Lactiplantibacillus plantarum. Its description in RNAcentral is "bacterial SSU rRNA". It matches the Rfam family "Bacterial small subunit ribosomal RNA", at positions 398 to 1029 of the family's 1533-position model. The record is from RNAcentral. Lineage: Bacteria; Bacillati; Bacillota; Bacilli; Lactobacillales; Lactobacillaceae.
CGCGUGAGGUGAAGNNGGGUUUCGNCUCGUAAAACUCUGUNNUAAAGNAGAACAUAUCUGAGAGUAACUNUCAGGUNUGACGGUAUUUAACCAGAAANCCACGGCUAACUACGUGCCAGCAGCCGCGGUAAUACGUAGGUGGCAAGCGUUGUCCGGGAUUUAUUGGGCGUAAAGCGAGCGCAGGCGGUUUUUUAAGUCUGAUGUGAAAGCNUUCGGCUCAACCGAAGAAGUGCAUCGGAAACUGGGAAACUUGAGUGCAGAAGAGGACAGUGGAACUCCAUGUGUAGCGGUGAAAUGCGUAGAUAUAUGGAAGAACACCAGUGGCGAAGGCGGCUGUCUGGUCUGUAACUGACGCUGAGGCUCGAAAGUAUGGGUAGCAAACAGGAUUAGAUACCCUGGUAGUCCAUACCGUAAACGAUGAAUGCUAAGUGUUGGAGGGUUUCCGCCCUUCAGUGCUGCAGCUAACGCAUUAAGCAUUCCGCCUGGGGAGUACGGCCGCAAGGCUGAAACUCAAAGGAAUUGACGGGGGCCCGCACAAGCGGUGGAGCAUGUGGUUUAAUUCGAAGCUACGCGAAGAACCUUACCAGGUCUUGACAUACUAUGCAAAUCUAAGAGAUUAGACGUUCCCUUCGGGGACAU